Molecule: ribosomal RNA, 330 nt
Filed under: uncultured eukaryote
Lineage: Eukaryota
Description: partial 18S ribosomal RNA
Rfam family: Eukaryotic small subunit ribosomal RNA
Source: RNAcentral
CCCUUAGAUGUUCUGGGCCGCACGCGCGCUACACUGACGAAGUCAGCGAGCAUCUCCUACGCCGAAAGGUGCGGGGAAUCUUGUGAAACUUUGUCGUGCUGGGGAUCGAUUUUUGAAAUUCUUGAUCAUCAACGAGGAAUUCCUAGUAAGCGCAAGUCAGCAGCUUGCGUUGAUUACGUCCCUGCCCUUUGUACACACCGCCCGUCGCUACUACCGAUUGAAUGGUUUAGUGAGAUUUUUGGACUGGAACUCUCUUGUUCAGCAAUGAACGAGAGGGACUCUGGGAAGCUAUUCUAACUGUAUCAUUUAGAGGAAGUAAAAGUCGUAACA